GAUGAACGCUGGCGGCGUGCCUAAUACAUGCAAGUCGAGCGAACAGACGCGGAGCUUGCUCCUCUGACGUUAGCGGCGGACGGGUGAGUAACACGUGGAUAACCUACCUAUAAGACUGGGAUAACUUCGGGAAACCGGAGCUAAUACCGGAUAAUAUAUUGAACCGCAUGGUUCAAUAGUGAAAGACGGCUUUGCUGUCACUUCUAGAUGGAUCCGCGCCGCAUUAGCUAGUUGGUAAGGUAACGGCCUACCAAGGCGACGAUGCGUAGCCGACCUGAGAGGGUGAUCGGCCACACUGGAACUGAGACACGGUCCAGACUCCUACGGGAGGCAGCAGUAGGGAAUCUUCCGCAAAGGGCGAAAGCCUGACGGAGCAACGCCGCGUGAGUGAUGAAGGUCUUCGGAUCGUAAAACUCUGUUAUUAGGGAAGAACAAAUGUGUAAUUAACUAUGCACGUCUUGACGGUACCUAAUCAGAAAGCCACGGCUAACUACGUG
This 497-nucleotide ribosomal RNA is filed under the name uncultured bacterium. RNAcentral describes it as "partial 16S ribosomal RNA". It matches the Rfam family "Bacterial small subunit ribosomal RNA", at positions 28 to 507 of the family's 1533-position model. The record is from RNAcentral.